This 371-nucleotide ribosomal RNA is filed under the name uncultured bacterium. RNAcentral describes it as "bacterial SSU rRNA". It matches the Rfam family "Bacterial small subunit ribosomal RNA", at positions 28 to 392 of the family's 1533-position model. The record is from RNAcentral.
GACGAACGCUGACGGUGUGCUUUAGACAUGCAAGUCGAACGAGAAAGCCCUCGGGUUAGUAAAGUGGCGAACGGGUGAGUAACACGUGGGCAACCUGCCCCUCGCAGGGGGACGAACCGGAGGAAACUCCGGCUAAUACCCCGUAACGUUCAAAGGGAGGCAUCUCUCUUCGAAGAAAGGUAGCUUCGGCCAUCCGGCGAGGGAUGAGCCCGCGGUGCAUUAGCUAGUUGGUGGGGUAACGGCCUACCAAGGCGACGAUGCAUAGCUGGUCUGAGAGGAUGAUCAGCCACACUGGGACUGAGACACGGCCCAGACUCCUACGGGAGGCAGCAGUCGGGAAUCUUGCGCAAUGGGCGAAAGCCUGACGCAGC